CUGCUUUUGCUGCUGCUGCUGAUCAAUCCCCAUGCCUGGAGUCGAUCUCCUGCAGAGGAAUCGACUCACCUGCUGCUCAUCUGCUUAUCAGAAGUGAUUUUAACUCGCCUCACUCCUUCCACAGACCAUGGAGUCUGGCUCUUCCCAAAGUCCCUGAGCUGCUCAGGUUCAGUUGCAUUUCUUAACAUCCUGCUCAGUGUUUUGAUUCAUAGAUUUUAAAACAACAUUGAGGAAGUAAAUAUUUGCUUCAUUAUAAAUUUACUCUGGAGUGUAGUUGGUUCAAAACAUGUCUGCAUUUAGGGUUUUCACAUAUAAUUAAAUUGAGUUUCAUAUUAAUUAUGUUUCAAUGUCUGAUAUGGAGUUAAAAUAUACAGGGACAUUCUUUUUCACAAACUACUAAUACCUGCAGCUGCAACUGAAAAGAGGUCACUGAGAGUAUUCAGAUUUAUGAAAAUCAACAGCAAAGUGGAUUAUUUUCACGAAGCAGUUUCCCUUAGAGAUCCUUAAAAUGCUGCAUCAAGAAGAGCACUUUUUUAACAUAGCACUUAAAAAUCAUUAGACUAAUCCCUGUUCAGAAGUAAGAUCAAAAUAUUGUUCGCAGUAUUAAAAUUAGCUUUUAACUACAUGCACACGCUUGAGGGGUUAGUGGCAUAAGCCUAAAUCAGGCCUGUUGUGCACUGGUUCUGCUUUUUUAUAUUGAAUGUUUUAAUUGGCAGGUAUGAUAUUUCUGUUUGUGUGAACUUGGAGUCAUAGUUUUCUUAUUGUGAAUAUGUUCUCCUGCUUAAAGAAAGUUAAAGUCUUUAAAAUAUUAAAUAUCAAAUGUUAAAUCCUUCAUUGACAAAUUCUCCACUGCACUGAUUUACAAUAAAAGGAAGCUUUUAUAUUGUAAAAUGAAAAUGUGAGGCGUAAUUGUUAGCACUUUGACCUCAGUAAUAAGACGCAGGCCUUUGUGUAUUGUGUUUUCAUUUGUUUUCUGUGGAUGUCACAGUUUUCUCAGACGACUCCAGUUUCACAGUGUAGUGUAAAAACAAUCAUUAGUGCUGGAAGUGAGUAAGGGAGCUGACUGGGGGCUAUAGUUUCGUGUUGCUGAUGGACACAGCAGUGUAAUGCAGCAGGAUGUUUUCGCUCAGAGUAAACAGCAAACCAGAGAAGAACAUGACAUGUUUUCUUAAGCUGAGAUGUUAACACUGUCGUAGUUUUAGACAUUUACUAUGGAUGUGAAUGCCAGAGUCACACUUUGCUGCAGGUAACCAUGGCUUAUGUUUAAACCUUUACUCAUCACUGUUUCUAAAAUAAAAAAUAAAAAAAUCAUCUAAAUAUAAAGUGAGUUUUUCCU
This is a long non-coding RNA of Poecilia latipinna (sailfin molly), 1336 nucleotides long. RefSeq lists it as uncharacterized. The transcript is spliced from 2 exons. The record is from RefSeq and is a predicted model, not a curated record. Lineage: Eukaryota; Metazoa; Chordata; Actinopteri; Cyprinodontiformes; Poeciliidae.